Molecule: long non-coding RNA, 887 nt
Organism: Mangifera indica (mango)
Lineage: Eukaryota; Viridiplantae; Streptophyta; Magnoliopsida; Sapindales; Anacardiaceae
Exons: 2
Source: RefSeq, a predicted model, not a curated record
UGCAAAUUGAGAAAUAUACAAACAUGGGGUUCAUGUAUUUUUGCAAGAUUUGGUAGAGCUUGCGUUAAAAUUAUUGCUCAGAUCUCUAUUCACCUAGUUUUUCAGAUUAAUCCCAAUUUUUACAAUUUGCAUGCUUUUUCAGACUAACUCAUUUAUUCAACAAUUAAGUGGAGACUCUUUGCAUAUUUUUAUUUGUAAAAUGAAGCUUUAAAAGAGUAAUUACUAAAAGGAAAUGCUGACAGUGGCCAUUGCUUCAAUUUGGAGGGGGACGGAGCAUCACGUGACUUAAUUACAAUUUCCGCAAACCGCGCGCGACGGAGUCGACGAGCAUAGUUUGUAACGGUAAUAGAAAAAACAGAAGCGCAGUCACAGAUCAGAUCCCCAAAUCCUCCUAGAUCCAUAAAAUGGUUACACUUGAACCAUUUGAUGAACCUAAAGAUAAUAAGUCCAAAACCAACUACGUUAAGAGGAAUCAUGGCUCCACCAAAUUCUUCGUUUUCGUCGAUUAUCUUUUUCUCUGCAUUUUUUUUGGAAUUCUAUGUUUCAUCCUUCUCAAGUUUCUCGGUCUCUAUUGAUUAUUUUGUCCUGCACCCAGGAUAGACUUCACUAAAUGUCUAGGCUUGCAAAUGAAGAGUUCAAGUUUAAGGCAUCUCAGGUUUGGCAUCAUCAGAUUAAGGCUUUGCUUUAAAUUUAGAAUAUUUAUGUGGACAUUAAAGAAACCAAGUGAACAAAAUUUGUGAUUAUAAAUAUCUUUUUUUUUUUCCAUAUGUUCUUUCUUUGUUUCUUCACUAUGUUACAACCCAUAUGUAUUAGCUUGGAAAUUUUGAAACCUAUCUUUGUAGCAUUCUGUCGUUGCCAGCAUUAAAUAUUCUGUUAUUUCAGUAUCA